RNAcentral lists this small nucleolar RNA (110 nucleotides) under Naumovozyma dairenensis CBS 421. RNAcentral describes it as "Small nucleolar RNA snR48". It matches the Rfam family "Small nucleolar RNA snR48". Rfam says of the family: snR48 is a member of the C/D class of snoRNA which contain the C (UGAUGA) and D (CUGA) box motifs. Lineage: Eukaryota; Fungi; Ascomycota; Saccharomycetes; Saccharomycetales; Saccharomycetaceae. The record is from Rfam by way of RNAcentral.
UUAUAAUGAUGAAUUUUUUGUUAUUGCAUUUUUCUGGCAUCUCUAAUGUUAGGGUGAGGCGUUUAAGUACGAUCCACUCGAUGAAUACACCAUUGACUACAUCUCUGAAA